AGAGUUUGAUCCUGGCUCAGAUUGAACGCUGGCGGCAUGCCUUACACAUGCAAGUCGAACGGCAGCACGGGGGUAACCCUGGUGGCGAGUGGCGAACGGGUGAGUAAUACAUCGGAACGUGUCCUGGAGUGGGGGAUAGCUCGGCGAAAGCCGGAUUAAUACCGCAUACGCUCUGUGGAGGAAAGCGGGGGAUCUUCGGACCUCGCGCUCAAGGGGCGGCCGAUGGCGGAUUAGCUAGUUGGUGGGGUAAAGGCCUACCAAGGCGACGAUCCGUAGCUGGUCUGAGAGGACGACCAGCCACACUGGGACUGAGACACGGCCCAGACUCCUACGGGAGGCAGCAGUGGGGAAUUUUGGACAAUGGGGGAAACCCUGAUCCAGCAAUGCCGCGUGUGUGAAGAAGGCCUUCGGGUUGUAAAGCACUUUUGUUCGGGAAGAAAUCCUUCGAGCUAAUACCUUGAGGGGAUGACGGUACCGGAAGAAUAAGCACCGGCUAACUACGUGCCAGCAGCCGCGGUAAUACGUAGGGUGCGAGCGUUAAUCGGAAUUACUGGGCGUAAAGCGUGCGCAGGCGGUUCGCUAAGACCGAUGUGAAAUCCCCGGGCUUAACCUGGGAACUGCAUUGGUGACUGGCGGGCUAGAGUAUGGCAGAGGGGGGUAGAAUUCCACGUAGCAGUGAAAUGCGUAGAGAUGUGGAGGAAUACCGAUGGCGAAGGCAGCCCCCUGGGCCAAUACUGACGCUCAUGCACGAAAGCGUGGGGAGCAAACAGGAUUAGAUACCCUAGUAGUCC
RNAcentral lists this ribosomal RNA (791 nucleotides) under uncultured bacterium. RNAcentral describes it as "bacterial SSU rRNA". It matches the Rfam family "Bacterial small subunit ribosomal RNA", at positions 8 to 796 of the family's 1533-position model. The record is from RNAcentral.